Molecule: ribosomal RNA, 579 nt
Filed under: uncultured bacterium
Lineage: Bacteria
Description: bacterial SSU rRNA
Rfam family: Bacterial small subunit ribosomal RNA
Source: RNAcentral
ACCCGCACAACCGGUGGAUAAUGUGGUUUAAUUCGAUGCAACGCGAAAACCCUUACCCACCUUUGACAUGUACGGAAGUUGCCAGAGAUGGCUUCGUGCUCGAAAGAGAGCCGUAACACAGGUGCUGCAUGGCUGUCGUCAGCUCGUGUCGUGAGAUGUUGGGUUAAGUCCCGCAACGAGCGCAACCCUUGUCAUUAGUUGCUACGAAAGGGCACUCUAAUGAGACUGCCGGCGACAAACCGGAGGAAGGUGGGGAUGACGUCAAGUCCUCAUGGCCCUUAUAGGUGGGGCUACACACGUCAUACAAUGGCUGGUACAAAGGGUUGCCAACCCGCGAGGGGGAGCUAAUCCCAUAAAACCAGUCGUAGUCCGGAUCGCAGUCUGCAACUCGACUGCGUGAAGUCGGAAUCGCUAGUAAUCGUGGAUCAGAAUGUCACGGUGAAUACGUUCCCGGGUCUUGUACACACCGCCCGUCACACCAUGGGAGCGGGUCUCGCCAGAAGUAGUUAGCCUAACCGCAAGGGGGGCGAUUACCACGGCGGGGUUCGUGACUGGGGUGAAGUCGUAACAAGGUAACCA